AAGAUUGUACCGCCAAUAGGGUGAUACCUCCUCUUCUUUUCUGUUGAUUUUCCCACUAAGAUUUUCACGAGAAAAACAAGGGUUAGAGCAGAAAUUGCGAAAACCAGGGACAUGGGGUUGCAGAAAAAGUCCAUGGACACCAUCUUGGACGUUGAUGAAAGAAGGAGCUGCAAGAUAUGCAUGGGUAGAAAAAUGGAUUGCUUUUGGAUCUUGGAAGAGUGGCCGUGUGUUACUUGGAACUUCUUUUUGUUCUUUUUGUAUUAAAAAAAUUAUUAUAUCAAACUAACGUUCAAAGUAGUCUCCUUGGUAUCACAUAGGAGUAUGUCAUAAAAAUAUAUAUUUUUUCAAAAUUUCAAUAAAAGCUUCAAUUGAUAAUUGAGAUUUCAUUUUUGAAUUGAAAUUAUAUUUAUCAAGUGAAACUUCAAUUUUUGAACUAAAAUCGUAAUUGUCAAUUGAAACUUUAUUUUUUAUCUGAAGCCUCAAUUGACUGAGGCUUUAGUUAAUUUUUUUUUUCUUUUAAAAUUUAAUUAAAAACUAUUAAAUUAUAAUUUAUUAUUGACAUUAAAAAUCUAUGUUUUAGUAAUAAAUUAUUCAUAUUUAAGCUUAAGAAUCUAGUAUUACUUCAACAAACAUAAAUUGAUAAAUAGAAUAUAUUAUAAAUGAAUAUUCUAUUUAUUAAUAAAUUAAUAAUUUUAAAAUAAUAAAUUUAUAUAACAUAUAAAUAAGAUAUACAAUUGUAUAAUUUAUUAAUUUAAGAUAUUUAAUUUGUUAUUUUUUAAGAUAUUAAUUUAUUUGUAUUAUGAUAAAUUUAUCUUUAUCGAAAUGAUAGUAUACUCCUAAACGGUAGUUGUCAACUGAGACUUCAGUUAAUAUAUAUAUUUUUUUUACUUUCAAAUUGAAUUAAAAAUUAUUAAAUUACAACUUAUUAUUGAAAUUAAAAAUAUAUACUUUAAUAAUAAAUUAUUUAUAUUUAAACUUAAAAAUAUAGUAUUACUUCAAUAAACAUAAAUUGAUAAACAUAAUACAAUAAAUGAAUAUUUUAUUUAUCAAUAAAUUAAUAAUCUUAAAAUAAUAAAAUUAUAUGACAUACAAAUAAAAUAUAAAAUUUUAUAAUAUAUUAAUUUAAGAUAUUUAAUUUGUUGUUUUUUAAGAUAUUAAUUUAUUUGUAUUAUGAAAAAUUUAUCUUUAUUGAAAUAGUGGUAUACUCUUAAGUUUCUAUAUAUUGAUUUUUUUUAACAAAAUUAGUUAAUGAAAAUUAGUUAGAAAAAGUUUACUACAAAAUAUAAUUUUUAGCAGUUUCAUCAAAGUCACAAAAAAUACACACUAAACAUUUAUAUGUUGGAAAAAAAAAAAUACAUAUACAACCUCAUAUGCCUCUACAAGAAGAGAACCUAUGGAUAAAUUUGACAUAAUAUAAAUAAAUUAAUAUCUUAAAAAAACAAUAAAUUAAAUAUCUUAAAUUAAUAAAUUAUACAAUUUUAUAUCUUAUUUAUAUGUUAUAUAAAUUUAUUAUUUUAACAUUAUUAAUUUAUUAAUAAAUAAAAUAUUAAUUUAUAAUAUCUUUUAUUUAUCUAUUUAUGUUUGUUAAAGUAAUACUAGAUUCUUAAGCUUAACUAAAAAUAAUUUAUUAUUAAAAUAUAUAUUUUUAUUUCAAUAAUAAAUUAUAAUUUAAUAGUUUUUAAUUGAAUUUUAAUGUUAAAAAAAAAAACUGAAGUCUCAGUUGACAAUUAAUGUUUUAGUUCAAAAACUGAAGCCUCAGUUGGUAACUGCGAUUUCAAUUAAAAAAUGAAGCUUCGGUUGCCAAUUGAGGUUUUAACUAAAAUUUUGACAAAAAAAAUAUUUUUAUGACAUGGCACCUACCUGACACCAAAGAGGCUAGUUUGAACAUAAGUUUCAUAAAAUGGUUAGAUCUUUUUUUUUUUUUUUUUUUUUUUUUUUGUAUACAUAGGCCGUUUUGACAUCAUUCAAAGGCUUUGUUGCCACGUUAAAAUAUCAUAUUUUUAUCUUAUCUUUUUCUUUCAGCCUUAUUAUUUCUUCUAAUGUUUUUUCAAACUUACAUUUUUUUUAAUUGGCUUUCAAAAUCUUUUGAUUUGAUUUAAUGGUCAAAAAAUGUCAAAUGACAUGUGAAGAGAAAAAAGGAAGAUUAUAAUCAUAUUCUUUUGAAUUUCUAAGUUUGAAAGUAUAACGUACGUGAAGUAAACAUGCUCUUGGUUUAAAUUUAAAGAGGCNNNNNNNNNNNNNNAGAGAGAGAUAUAUAAAUCAGUUGACCUUUUACUAAAUAUCAAGAGGUUACCAAAGGGGGGGGCUCUCUUCUUCGUGUGAAGGCAUAUAUAUACAGCUUCAGGGGUACUACUCCUUUCAUUAAUGGUGAGGAGAUAUUUUAUGUUGUGAUGAUGACAAUAGGAGUUAGUAGGAGUAUUAUCAUCCUACGAACGACUGUCAGAAACCAUGGUAGGUGAUGCGGCUGUCAGAGAUCGUGGGCAGUGAUUAUGUAGAAUGAUCGUGGGAAGUGACUUGCUGUCACUUCCCCUUGUCUUCUCACUCUGCAGGUGAUGGGAUGUGGGCCAUGGCUGCUUGUUGUGAUUGUGUGUAAGACUCGCUUUACUUUAAUUGACCAUCCAGACGAUUUAUAUCCGGAUGGCUCAUGCUGAUCAUCCGGAUGUGUUGUGGAGACCAUCCGGAUGUCUACGCUCUGCCUGCGUCGUUUGCUCUUCCUUGGAUAGGGCUUGGCUUUCCUUGAGGUGGUCCGGAUAGGAUAACUGCACCAUGCAUACCUUUAGGGGAAUCCGGAUGAUGAUGGUCCGGAUGAUAAUAUGUGCCACGCGUCACCAUGAACUACGUGCCACGUGUUUCUCAAGGGGAGGGGUCCCUACAGAGGCGGAUCCAUCGAAGGGAGGGCAAAGAGUUGGGUGGGCCAAAGAAUGGUCCUGACAUUUUGACUAAUGCAAAUAGAACCAAUGGCACCAAUCAUACGUAACACAAAUCCACACCACAAAUUUGAAUUAAUUUUUGCUACUGGGGCUGCCUCCACAUUUAAACUUCUAGAUUAAAUUUUUCAACACCCAAUGGAUAACAGGUGUUAUGACUUAUCAGACAAAUUAUUAACAACUUGACCAAAGCUCCUGACAUCACUGGUUUCUCUCAACCCUUUUUAGAUGCCUCUUUCGUUAUGGACUGGAGCCAUGAGAAAAAGGGGGGAGAGCAAGAGCGAAAGAGACAUGUAAAAAAUGUCCAAGAAAAGCCUGGGUUGAUUUUCAGAUCAAUUUUGACUUAGGGAGUGAGUUAGUUCUAGGGUGGACACAAUGGAAAAAGGCCAUGAAAUCCUAGUGGGGAAGUGAGUUAGUUCUAGGCAGAUUUUUGCAGUAGUUUGGAAGGCUGGACCACUAAUCGUCCUUGGACUCACCCAAUUCUUAACCACUGCUCGCUUCUGCGCUUUCCCCAUCUAAAUGAUGCCACUGAUAAAAGUGACCAAACGCACCAUCCCAAGUGAGAAAAAGAACCAAAGAUCCAGACAUUAUUUAAUACUCGCCCACUGGCAUCAUACUAUGCAUUAUCUUAGUGUUGCUGAAACUUGAAAGCUACCCAGCGGCAGCGCUGGAACCUUAAUGCAGCUUUGCUGGACUAGUGUGCCAGUUAACUAAUCCUACUUUUGAAGAAUACAACAGUAAUUGCAGAAUUAAGUGCCCUUUCGGCCUUUCCCACCUAUUCAAUUUAACAUGAAUCAUAGCCAUAGGCCAGCAACCACACAGCUAAUAAAAGUGAAGGGGGCGGUAGUCCCCCCCAUACUCACGUUUCAUAAAUUGGACACAUUUUGGUCCCGUGGGGCAGCAAUCUGGGACUUAUUCUACCUUUCUUGGGUUGUUUGUUGGGUUAUCUCUAUCAAAGGCUAAGUACAAUUCAUCAAGCCUAAUCAAAACAAAUUAGAAAAACAAACAAAUCGAAAGCAAAUUUUGGUAACCCACUUCAUGUACUGAGUAGACAUGCCUAUCAUGAAAUAUCUAGCAGACUUUUGAGUUUUGGGUCAAAAUGGCCCCUAUAUACAAAAAUAUAUUAGAUGUAACUGCUUUAUGAAACUUAUAUUCAAAUUGACCUAUUUGGUGUUAUGUAAGAGCCAUAUCAUAGAAAUAUAUAUAUAUAUAUAUAUAUAUAUAUAUAUAUAUAUAUAUAUAUAUAUAUAUAUAUAUAUAUAUAUAUAUAUAUAUAUAUAUAUAUAUAUAUAUAUAUAUAUAUAUAUAUAUAUAUAUAUAUAUAUAUAUAUAUAUAUAUAUAUAUAUAUAUAUAUAUAUAUAUAUAUAUAUAUAUAUAUAUAUAUANNNNNNNNNNNNNNNNNNNNNNNNNNNNNNNNNNNNNNNNNNNNNNNNNNNNNNNNNNNNNNNNNNNNNNNNNNNNNNNNNNNNNNNNNNNNNNNNNNNNNNNNNNNNNNNNNNNNNNNNNNNNNNNNNNNNNNNNNNNNNNNNNNNNNNNNNNNNNNNNNNNNNNNNNNNNNNNNNNNNNNNNNNNNNNNNNNNNNNNNNNNNNNNNNNNNNNNNNNNNNNNNNNNNNNNNNNNNNNNNNNGGGGGGCAUGGGAGAUUAUAUAGGUUUUUUUUCCUAGCAUAUAAAUGUUUAGUGGGUAUUUUUUGGGAGUUUUAUAAAACUACUAAAAAUUAUUAUUUGUAGUAGACUUUUUCUAACUAAUUUUGUCAAAAAAAUCUAUAUAUGGAAACUUAAGAGUACACUAUUAUUUCGAUAAAUAUUUAUUUGUCAUAAUGUAAAUGAAUUAAUAUCUUAAAAAACAACAAAUUAAAUAUCUUAAAUUAAUAUAUUAUAAAAUUUUAUAUCUUAUUUGCAUGUCAUAUAAUUUUUUUUAUUUUAAGAUUAUUAAUUUAUUGAUAAAUAAAAUAUUCAUUUAUUGUAUUAUAUUUAUCAAUUUAUGUUUAUUAAAGUAAUACUAGAUUUUUAAGUUUAAAUAUAAAUAAUUUAUUGUUAAAGUAUAUAUUCUUAAUUUCAAUAAUAAAUUGUAAUUUAAUAUUUUUAAUUAAAUUUGAAAGUUAAAAAAAAAAAAUAAUCAAAGCCUCAGUUGGAAACUACGGUUUGGGAGUAUACUAUUAUUUUGAUAAAGAAAAAUUUGUUAUAAUACAAAUAAAUUAAUAUCUUAAAAAAUAAAAAAUUAAAUAUCUUAAAUUAAUAUAUUAUACAAUUUUAUAUCUUAUUUAUAUGUUAUAUAAAUUUAUUAUUUUAAGAUUAUUAAUUUAUUAAUAAAUAAAUAUUCAUUUAUAAUAUCUUUUAUUUAUCAAUUUAUGUUUGAUGAAGUAAUACUAUAUUCUUAAGCUUAAAUAUAAAUAAUUUAUUAUUAAAAUAUAUAUUUUUAAUUUCAAUAAUAAAUUAUAAUUUAAUAGUUUUUAAUUAAAUUUUAAAGUAAAAAAAAAAUUAAAUGAAGCCUCAAUUAACAACUACGGUUUUAAUUAAAAAACUGAAAGCUCAAUUGCCAAUUAAAUUAUACAAUUUUAUAUCUUAUUUAUAUGUUAUAUAAAUUUAUUAUUUUAAGAUUAUUAAUUUAUUAAUAAAUAAAUAUUCAUUUAUAAUAUCUUUUAUUUAUCAAUUUAUGUUUGAUGAAGUAAUACUAUAUUCUUAAGCUUAAAUAUAAAUAAUUUAUUAUUAAAAUAUAUAUUUUAAAUUUCAAUAAUAAAUUAUAAUUUAAUAGUUUUUAAUUAAAUUUUAAAGUAAAAAAAAAAUUAAAUGAAGCCUCAAUUAACAACUACGGUUUUAAUUAAAAAACUGAAAGUUCAAUUGCCAAUUGAAACUUUAACUAAAAUUUUAAAAAGUAUAUAUAUUUUUAUGAUAUGGCUCCUACGUGGUACCAAAGAUAUUAACUUGAACAUAAGUUUCAUAAUAAUAUUUUUUUUAUAUAUAAAUGGGUCAUUUUGACUCAAAACUCAAAAGUGUAAGAUGUCUUGAAAGUGAUUAGGCACUUACCAUCCUCCUCUUUUCUUUUUCAAAACUUAGAUAUUUCUUUGGGAAAUCAUGCUUUAGGGAUAAUUAAAACUUAAAAGCAUAUAAUGGACAUAAGAUGAUUAUGCUUUAACCACGAGAAACAUGAAAUAGAAAUUAGGAAAUGUGAAUACACGGUUUUGUUGGCGGCGGCGGCAUAUCAUCAUCAUCAUUUUUUUAUAUUUCUAUUUUACUAAAAUAUUUCUUUAGAAAUUGAAAGAAAAACAUAAAAUAAAAAUAUUUUUGUCUUUAAUAAUUUUUAAAUAAGCAUAAUUUUUUUAACAUCUUAAUACUAUUAAUAUAAUCCAUUUUAAUAUUUUUCUCAUAUCCAUUUUUGUUAAUUUGAAAACAUUCAAGUAUAACAAAUUAUCAGGUAUUUGUCACGAGUUAAUGUACUUUGAUUCAUGGUGAAAAUUGUUGAAUGGUGUCUCAAAUUCCUAAUUUUUUUUUGUAAAAAGAAUAAUAUAUAAAAUAUUUCAUAAGUUUCUAUAUGGUUGUAAUUAGAUUCCUUAUUUAAAAAAGAAAAAAAAAACCUAAAUGAAUAUUUCUAUAAAUAUGUUAAGUCAUAAAAGAAAAAAGUUAUGAGAAAGAUAUGAACUUAUGAAAACUAUAUAUGUCGAAUAGAGUUGUGAAGAAGAUUAAGAGACACCCGAUAAAACAUGAUUUAAGGUGGAUGUACAAAGAGUAAAAAAACAUUUGAGACCUACUAUUUAUAUUUAUUUCUGUUAUUUAUAAUAUUUUUUAUCAUUUAAUGGAAUCAUGUCUCGUCAGUGGUCAUGAUUGGUCAAGUCACAUUAAAACCUCACGUGUCUUUGUGUGUAAAUGGUUUUAUUUUAUGUUAUCCCAUUCCUUAAUAUGUUUAUAUAAGAAGUAAGAACUUCCACACAUACAACAAAUGAUAUCAAAGCUUUUGUUGGCCGACAUGUGUUGCUUCCUAUCACAAUAAAAUCAUCAAAAUACUCCAAUAAGUAUAUUAGAUCUCCUACAUGAGAGUAGAUAAACAAGGAGGUGUUACCAGAUACAAUGAGUAGCCAGCUACAUCUCAAGCCUCCAGAAUCUUUGUGUCUGGCCUGUGGAAAGCACGAACAUGGAGGCCUCCAUCAAUAAGAAGGGUGAUCAUUGUCCUGUAAGUCACAGCUUUCUUAUCGUCGCUCAUCUUAAAAACAAAACAACCGGACAGAAUGGCUGAGAGGAUCUUCAUCUGCCUAUAAGCAAACUCCUUUCCCAAACAAAUUCUCGGGCCUGCCUGUUAACCAACAGAAACUGAUUUUAGCUUUCUUCAUGAGCAUGAACUUAGUAAUAUUUCUCAUAUCUGUUUUUGGACAUGGAUAGGAGUUGCUAAACUUGAAAAAGGUCUUUUCCUUGAUACAUUUUCCAUGGAGAAAUGUUGAACAGAAGAGUAAACUUAUAUGCCGUGAAGGUGAGUUUGAAGCAUGCAUGAAAUAAUGGAAUGUAAAAUCUAACCUGAAAUGCAGUGAAUUUGAAAGGGCUUUCUGGGCAAAAAAGGCCCUUCUCAUUAAGCCAUCUCUCUGGUCGGAAUUCCUCUGCAUCAUCGCCCCAUACAAAUCUCAUCCUGCCCAUUGCAUAUGGUUGGUAAGACACCAUAUCUCCUUUCCUCACACUGAACCCAUCUGGCAGCGUGUCAUCUGAAAAGCAAAUCUUUGCAUCCUGCAAACCCAGAGUUAGAAAAUUUGAGAUUUCAGAACUGUUUGGCACAAAAUAUAAUGCAGAAGAUGAAAAUGUGCAAGGAAGAUGUCAAAAAAGGAGAAGAGCAACGUAUCAAUGCUUUAGAAUCAUUUCCCAGAUAUAUAUCAAAGAGUUUGAUAUAGUUGUCCUAUGCCUUUCUUGAUGAAAAACCAAUUAUUGUUGGGACUUAAUUCAAAACCAGGAAAGCUUCAAAUCUAUGUAUAUGUAUGUGUGAAUGACUACAAAAUCACAAUGCUCAUUACCACAGGAACUGCAGGAUAGAGUCGUAGAGUCUCAGUUAUAGCAGCAUGGAGAUACUGCAUCUUCUCCAGAGCUUCUUCAGUAACACUGGCUGCAAACUCGGCAUAGUUUGUGGCCUCUUUCAGGUUGAUCGCUUCCCUCACUUCUUGUGCCACCUUUUCCUGAAUGGUGGGAUGCUUGCAAAGCAUGUAAAUGAACCAGGAAAGAGUAGUUGCUGUCGUGUCUUUUCCAGCAGUUAUAAAAUUGAGGAUUAUAUCCCGUAAGUAUUUUGGAUCAAUCUCUAUGUCCUUCAACUGCAGAAACCUUGAUAAAAUAUCGUCUUUCUUCAUCUGCCAUAACACAUAAUGAAAAAGUGAGAUUAAUUAUGCUCCAUAUUUUGAUGAAAAAUACAAUUACUAGGUGAUUCACUCACUGAAGAAUCAUUUUGUGAAUUCUUCAUUAGUUCAGUCUUGCUGUGGAUUAGCUUGUACACAAAGUCAUCAACCACUUUGAUACUCCUCUUUAACGUGGCUUCUGAACCGAUAUUCAGACUUUUCUUGAUUGUCCAGAAGAUAUCAACAUACCGAUAAAGGGUCAUGGCACUCGCAUCAUCAAAUGCGCUGCCAAACUUGGUGCCUUCUUCAUUUGAUCCACACAUGCUGUCUAGCUCUACCCCAAAUGCAAAUUUGAAUAUCGAAUCUAAGGUUGCUUUCAUAAAAAGAUCCUGCAUAGAAACUUUGUAUUAAUCAAGAGACAAGAGGAUUGUUCUAUAUGUGAAUUCGGCAUCAUGUAAAUAACCUUACUUGAAUAUCCAUUGUCUGGUUGAAGCUUGCAGCUUCAGACACUACUAUAGCAAGUUUUGCCCCAUUUUUUCGGAAAACUACACUGCUGAAGUCCCUCAAUACCUUUGUAGAGAAUUCAUAGCUCGAUACCUUUCUCUGUUGCCGCCAUUUCUCAUCGUCAACUGUGAAAAUUCCAUCACCAAGUAGAUCCCUCAGAAUGUUAUAGUUAUAGGAGCCCUGCACAAAGUUUUCAAAGAACCAAAAUUUUGAGCUCCAACCUCAGGUUUUGAACUCCAUUCCCGAUUCAAAAAUAAAUAAAUUAACAAACUAAACCUCCAAAUUUGGGGUUCAAAGGAUAAACCCUGAAAUUAAUCAUAGUGGAAGAUCCCCAGUGGUUGGAAAAUCAUAGGCACUUUCACAACAAUUCCAUUUUUUCCCAAGGCAAAUCAAGAUGAAAUAGAAAAAUCCAAAAAUUAGUUGACACUUGAUGUAAGAAUUGAGCUUUGGCAUGAAUUGAUUAUCGUUUCCCCGGUUUUAUCCUAUGCUGGAUGGGUGGAAGAUAACUUGAAAUUCCCUCCUUUUCCUUUUCCUGAUAAUUUCCAAAGUUUGAUCAAAAUCACUCUCAAUAGUUGUUUCCCCUGUCUAUCUAUAAAUAGGCAUACACAAAAAAAAAAAAAAAAAACCAAAGAAAGAACCCUCUUGAAGUCAACUUAGUUCUUUAUUUCUUAUUUCUUCAGUCCAUUAAAACCCAUACAGCCAAAACCCUGAUAUUCCUGCAAAUUUCUUCAAGAAACAAGUAAUAAUAAGAAAUGAGUUUUGAUUGAGAACCUUUACCUUGCCAUAAUUCUCGAAGUUUGUCUUGAGUAUAUACUCGACAUUAGCUGGGUCAGCAGUGAAAAUCUCAUUCCUAAAGGGGCUGAGUAGCCUGUAAGUCCUGUGCUUCCCAGCAACAUCAGUCAUGUAGUGGUGCAACCUGUUGAAGUUGAAGAGGUGGUUGAAGAUUGUACCGCCAAUAGGGUGAUACCUCCUCUUCUUUUCUGUUGAUUUUCCCACUAAGAUUUUCAUGAGAAAAACAAGGGUUAGAGCAGAAAUUGCGACAACCAGGUACAUGGGGUUGCAGAAAAAGUCCAUGGACACCAUCUUGGACGUUGAUGAAAGAAGGAGCUUCAAGAUAUACAUGGGUAGAAAAAUGGAUUGCUUUUGGAUCUUGGAAGAGUGGCCGUGUGUUACUUGAACUUCUUUUUGUUCUUAUAUUAUUA
Molecule: long non-coding RNA, 9935 nt
Filed under: Vitis vinifera (wine grape)
Lineage: Eukaryota; Viridiplantae; Streptophyta; Magnoliopsida; Vitales; Vitaceae
Description: long non-coding RNA (VVIN_LNC005187)
Source: RNAcentral